AUUGAACGCUGGCGGAAUGCUUUACACAUGCAAGUCGAGCGGCAGCGCGGCCUUCGGGCUGGCGGCGAGCGGCGAACGGGUGAGUAAUGCAUCGGAACAUGCCCAGUCGUGGGGGAUAACACUUCGAAAGAAGUGCUAAUACCGCAUACGUCCUGAGGGGGAAAGCGGGGGAUCGCAAGACCUCGCGCGAUUGGAGUGUCCGAUGUCAGAUUAGCUAGUUGGUGGGGUAAAGGCCUACCAAGGCGACGAUCUGUAGCUGGUCUGAGAGGAUGAUCAGCCACACUGGGACUGAGACACGGCCCAGACUCCUACGGGAGGCAGCAGUGGGGAAUUUUGGACAAUGGGGGCAACCCUGAUCCAGCCAUUCCGCGUGAGUGAAGAAGGCCUUCGGGUUGUAAAGCUCUUUCGGCAGGAACGAAACGGUGGGCUCUAACAUAGUCCGCUAAUGACGGUACCUGAAGAAGAAGCACCGGCUAACUACGUG
Molecule: ribosomal RNA, 484 nt
Filed under: uncultured bacterium
Lineage: Bacteria
Description: partial 16S ribosomal RNA
Rfam family: Bacterial small subunit ribosomal RNA
Source: RNAcentral